UGCGUAGGUGGGCGUGUAAGUUGGAUGUGAAAGCCCCGGGCUUAACCUGGGAGGGUCAUCCAAUACUGCAUGUCUAGAGUAUGGUAGAGGGUAGUAGAAUUUCCGGUGUAGCGGUGAAAUGCGUAGAGAUCGGAAGGAAUAUCAAUGGCGAAGGCAGCUACCUGGGCCAAUACUGACACUGAGGCACGAAAGCAUGGGGAGCAAACAGGAUUAGAUACCCUGGUAGUCCAUGCCGUAAACGAUGAAAACUAGCCGUUGGAUGUCUACGGACAUUUAGUGGCGCAGCUAACGCGAUAAGUUUUCCGCCUGGGGAGUACGGCCGCAAGGCUAAA
This 332-nucleotide ribosomal RNA is filed under the name uncultured Legionella sp. RNAcentral describes it as "bacterial SSU rRNA". It matches the Rfam family "Bacterial small subunit ribosomal RNA", at positions 568 to 898 of the family's 1533-position model. The record is from RNAcentral. Lineage: Bacteria; Pseudomonadati; Pseudomonadota; Gammaproteobacteria; Legionellales; Legionellaceae.